RNAcentral lists this ribosomal RNA (1126 nucleotides) under Pseudoalteromonas agarivorans. RNAcentral describes it as "bacterial SSU rRNA". Lineage: Bacteria; Pseudomonadati; Pseudomonadota; Gammaproteobacteria; Alteromonadales; Pseudoalteromonadaceae. The record is from RNAcentral.
AUGCAAGUCGAGCGGUAACAGAAAGUAGCUUGCUACUUUGCUGACGAGCGGCGGACGGGUGAGUAAUGCUUGGGAACAUGCCUUGAGGUGGGGGACAACAGUUGGAAACGACUGCUAAUACCGCAUAAUGUCUACGGACCAAAGGGGGCUUCGGCUCUCGCCUUUAGAUUGGCCCAAGUGGGAUUAGCUAGUUGGUGAGGUAAUGGCUCACCAAGGCGACGAUCCCUAGCUGGUUUGAGAGGAUGAUCAGCCACACUGGGACUGAGACACGGCCCAGACUCCUACGGGAGGCAGCAGUGGGGAAUAUUGCACAAUGGGCGCAAGCCUGAUGCAGCCAUGCCGCGUGUGUGAAGAAGGCCUUCGGGUUGUAAAGCACUUUCAGUCAGGAGGAAAGGUUAGUAGUUAAUACCUGCUAGCUGUGACGUUACUGACAGAAGAAGCACCGGCUAACUCCGUGCCAGCAGCCGCGGUAAUACGGAGGGUGCGAGCGUUAAUCGGAAUUACUGGGCGUAAAGCGUACGCAGGCGGUUUGUUAAGCGAGAUGUGAAAGCCCCGGGCUCAACCUGGGAACUGCAUUUCGAACUGGCAAACUAGAGUGUGAUAGAGGGUGGUAGAAUUUCAGGUGUAGCGGUGAAAUGCGUAGAGAUCUGAAGGAAUACCGAUGGCGAAGGCAGCCACCUGGGUCAACACUGACGCUCAUGUACGAAAGCGUGGGGAGCAAACGGGAUUAGAUACCCCGGUAGUCCACGCCGUAAACGAUGUCUACUAGAAGCUCGGAGCCUCGGUUCUGUUUUUCAAAGCUAACGCAUUAAGUAGACCGCCUGGGGAGUACGGCCGCAAGGUUAAAACUCAAAUGAAUUGACGGGGGCCCGCACAAGCGGUGGAGCAUGUGGUUUAAUUCGAUGCAACGCGAAGAACCUUACCUACACUUGACAUACAGAGAACUUACCAGAGAUGGUUUGGUGCCUUCGGGAACUCUGAUACAGGUGCUGCAUGGCUGUCGUCAGCUCGUGUUGUGAGAUGUUGGGUUAAGUCCCGCAACGAGCGCACCCCUAUCCUUAGUUGCUAGCAGGUAAUGCUGAGAACUCUAAGGARACUGCCGGUGAUAAACCGGAGGAAGGGGGAC